CCCCUAGAUGUUCUGGGUCGCACGCGCGCUACACUGACGAAUGCAACGAGCUUAUAACCUUGGCCGAAAGGUCUGGGUAAUCUCCAAAUUUCGUCGUGAUGGGGAUAGAUUAUUGCAAUUAUUAAUCUUCAACGAGGAAUGCCUAGUAAGCGCAAGUCAUCAGCUUGCGUUGAUUACGUCCCUGCCCUUUGUACACACCGCCCGUCGCUCCUACCGAUUGAAUGGUCCGGUGAAGCGUUCGGACCGUGGCCUUUGGACGGUUCGCCGUCUGUUGGCUGCGGGAAGUUCGUUAAACCUUAUCAUUUAGAGGAAGGAGAANUCGUANCA
Molecule: ribosomal RNA, 327 nt
Filed under: uncultured eukaryote
Lineage: Eukaryota
Description: partial 18S ribosomal RNA
Rfam family: Eukaryotic small subunit ribosomal RNA
Source: RNAcentral